UAACAACAAAAUCCUAACUAUUAUAGAAUAUUAACUAAACUCUAAUUAGACCAUAAUAUUAUUAAGUAAGCUUUAAUCAAAUUCAAAAAAACCUCAAAGAAAUUUCAAACAAAUAACAAAAAUUCUUAAAGAAAUAUUAGAAUGAUCACAAAUAUCACUCAAAUACAUCUCAAUUCAAUCUUAAUUCCAUUCUAGUUAAAAUCCUAUUGAAUUUCAUUCAAAUUUUAGGCCAAAACUAAUUAAAUCUUAAAUCCUAAUAAAAUCCUAAAUCCUAAAUCAAACCCUAAAUCCUAAACCAAACCCUAAACAAAUCUUAAACCAAAUUCCAAUCAAAUCCUAAAUCAAACCCUAAAUCCUAAAUCAAAUCCUAAUCAAAUCCUAAACUGUAAACUAAGCCCUAAUCAAAUCCUAAAUAAAAUCCUAACUAAAUCCUAACCAAAAAAUAAUUCAAACCUUAAAUCCUAACUAAAUCCUAAUCUAAAUCCUAAACCCUAAAUCAAACCCUAAUCCUAAA
Molecule: long non-coding RNA, 514 nt
Filed under: Physcomitrium patens
Lineage: Eukaryota; Viridiplantae; Streptophyta; Bryopsida; Funariales; Funariaceae
Description: long non-coding RNA (PPAT_LNC005315)
Source: RNAcentral